RNAcentral lists this ribosomal RNA (497 nucleotides) under uncultured bacterium. RNAcentral's name for it is "partial 16S ribosomal RNA". It matches the Rfam family "Bacterial small subunit ribosomal RNA", at positions 28 to 507 of the family's 1533-position model. The record is from RNAcentral.
GAUGAACGCUGGCGGCGUGCCUAAUACAUGCAAGUCGAGCGAACAGACGAGGAGCUUGCUCCUCUGACGUUAGCGGCGGACGGGUGAGUAACACGUGGAUAACCUACCUAUAAGACUGGGAUAACUUCGGGAAACCGGAGCUAAUACCGGAUAAUAUAUUGAACCGCAUGGUUCAAUAGUGAAAGACGGUUUUGCUGUCACUUAUAGAUGGAUCCGCGCCGCAUUAGCUAGUUGGUAAGGCAACGGCUUACCAAGGCAACGAUGCGUAGCCGACCUGAGAGGGUGAUCGGCCACACUGGAACUGAGACACGGUCCAGACUCCUCCGGGAGGCAGCAGUAGGGAAUCUUCCGCAAUGGGCGAAAGCUUGACGGAGCAACGCCGCGUGAGUGAUGAAGGUCUUCGGAUCGUAAAACUCUGUUAUUAGGGAAGAACAAAUGUGUAAGUAACUAUGCACGUCUUGACGGUACCUAAUCAGAAAGCCACGGCUAACUACGUG